Mus musculus (house mouse) is the source of this 2519-nucleotide long non-coding RNA. RefSeq annotates it as RIKEN cDNA 9430024E24 gene. The transcript is spliced from 2 exons. The record is from RefSeq and is a predicted model, not a curated record. NCBI's taxonomy places the organism in Eukaryota, Metazoa, Chordata, Mammalia, Rodentia, Muridae.
AAAAAAAAAAAAAAAGAAAGAAAAAAGAAACCCUUCACACCAUCCCUCCUUGCUGAAGCUAGCUACAGACCCUCAGGGCUCAGCUGGGAGGGAUUUAUUGGAGAAUUUCAAUCAUGGGGUCUUGGCUCAAACUUGUUGCUUCCCUCAAAAAAUCUGCCCAGAAGUUUGAUUACAUGUGGGAUUGGGGCACGAGGGGCCAGUCUGAUGAUCUCGCAAUUCAGAAUUCCACCUGGGCCUCUGGGAGUGUUGCAGCCCCGAGAGGAAGAGAACAGGACACAGGACAGCCAGCGAGAGCGGGUUCUGACAUGAUGCGGAGUGGAAAUCUUGGACGCCUAAUGACAUAUUUCUACCCAGGAAGAAUUUUGAAUUCCGAAGGCACACUUGAUUAAAACCCCAAACCCUGAGCAGUUGCUGAUGGAACCACCCGACACUUUGACUUCUGGGUGUCAGUGCUUAAUUAAAAUAUUCACCCAGCUGCUCUUCCCUUGCCAAGGGGACCCAAAGGAAUUAAACCAAUAAGCUUAAUUCCGUUAGGUCACCUGCCUGUGUAUACAGAGACAUGGAAGACCAUUUACCAGUUCAGAAAUAAAGUGUCAGAUCCACCCAGCAAACCCAGCGUGGACCACACAGCAAACCAGUCCCCGAGAUGGACAGCAUCACCCUCUGCCAUCUCCGUUUCCAGCUUGGAACACACGCAGCUAUUUUUAAGGUCUCUUCCAGUAUGACCAAAGUGACGCACUAGUCAAUACAAGGAUUACUAUGCCAAGAUUGAUUUGCGUGUUGUUUAUAAAACACACAGCUUUUACUGACUCCUCCAGGCUAUGUUUGUGUCUCAAAGAUGUAAAUACUAUUGUUAUGGGGCCAUUCCACUUGACGGAUGAAGAAACUGAGGCCGAGUGAUGAAGGCCCCAAAUGGUCUGCCUUGUUUAACAGAGCCUGCUAAACCCUCGCUACCUAGAACGGAGAGCUUUGUGACAUUUUAAUCUUUGCUUUAAAUGUUGACCUAUUUGCCAUCUGCCACACACACACACACAGCAUGCGGCAUUGAGACGGCUCAAAGGCUAGGAGUCAGCACCAUUGCUAGCCUGCCCUCGGCCUCCUCUUCUUGUCCUGCAGGUAAGCUUUGGACAAUUUCUCAUGACCCCCACCUCCUGAAAGUAGAGAUCAGCAGAUAGGUGCACGUCCUCUGGAGUACACACAGAACACAGCUAGUGAACAGCCCUGCAACUUACAUUUGCAUUUAAUAAUAUAUGGUAGGGUGGCAUCUCCAUCUCUCUGCUAAGUCUGCAAGCCAUCCCAUUCAAUGGAUGUGCUAGAAAGAGACUCAUAUGUGCAUAACAUUCCACCGCUGUUUACUAGCAAAGGUGCUGACAUGCCAUUCACUCCCCACCACCCUCUCCUUUGGUCGUCCAUCUUCAGUGACCGGCCGUGGAGACAGCGCUACUCUUUGAUGCCCUCCUCAGCAGAACUGAGACGAGUGCUUUCUCCAUCAUCUGCAGAAUAGUGUGCUGCCUAGAAACACCACUAACUCUCAGCUAGAUCAAGGCUCCGUGUUCGGUCCAUGCUCUGUGAUCCCACAUCCUAGCUAUAGCUUUCCUGCCUCAACCUCAAAACUGUCAGGACAGCUCCAGCUCAGGGUCCCCCAGAUCACUGUGCAAACAGAUGUCUUUCUGCCAGUGCCACUAGUCAGUUCCCAGAUGGCCUUAUUUGUCACACAGGAAAUGAGACAUAUCCCUGUGAUCAAUGCAAAUGGAACCGAGAGCCAUCCGAGAACAGCGUGAGCCCUGUUUAGUGACGAGCACCUGAGUAUGGGACUGUGCUGCCCUGACAAGGCCAGCAGACUUGAAGUCCUAGGUCGUAACUGUUUAGUGCAGAGGUGUGAGCGUGGAGUCCAGCCAUGUCCUCGGACAAAGCACAGGCAGGAAUCAUGCAGAUCUGUGGAGGCUGCAGGACCUGCCUGCAGGCUGCUUGUCCUCAGCUUCCUGCAGGCCACCUGUUCCUAGGCGCAGCCGAAUUUGCCAGCUGGGCUGUGGUGGAGCCUGCAUGCUGGCCAGCCAGUGGUGUCCAGAGCCACAGUCCUGGUUAUUUACAGCUUGCUAGGGUCCCCAGCCAUGUGUACACUCGGCUGCAGAACCAGGUUUCUGGGCAGAGCCGCCAGCAUGUGCACAGCUGUAUGGGAUACAUCUUUUCUUAUUGUAAAUGAACCCAGCUAGCUGAACACAGAGGGGAAACACACACACACACACACACACACACACACACAGAGUGAGAGAGAGAGAGAGAGAAAGAGAGAGAGAGAGAGAGAGAGAGAGAGAGAACCUAGUAGCUGUGAGUGCCAUCUCGUCAUCUCUCAAUCUUUCUACUGAUUUGAUAAUUAUCUGCAGAUACAACUGGGGCCAGAAUGAGAGCAGAAGCAGGCACGAAAGGGAGAUGGAUGGGCAGUGAUUUCUUUCCAAGGGUUUGAUAUUUUCACAUAUUGUUGUUUGUUACCUGUGGGCAAUAAAUUAGAUUUUUAACUA